RNAcentral lists this ribosomal RNA (253 nucleotides) under uncultured bacterium. Its description in RNAcentral is "partial 16S ribosomal RNA". It matches the Rfam family "Bacterial small subunit ribosomal RNA", at positions 524 to 776 of the family's 1533-position model. The record is from RNAcentral.
UACGUAGGGUGCGAGCGUUAAUCGGAAUUACUGGGCGUAAAGCGUGCGCAGGCGGUUUUGUAAGCCAGAUGUGAAAGCCCCGGGCUCAACCUGGGAAUGGCAUUUGGGACUGCAAGGCUUGAGUGCGGCAGAGGAGACUGGAAUUCCUGGUGUAGCAGUGAAAUGCGUAGAUAUCAGGAGGAAUACCGAUGGCGAAGGCAGCCCCCUGGGCUGACACUGACGCUCAGGCACGAAAGCGUGGGGAGCAAACAGG